RNAcentral lists this ribosomal RNA (423 nucleotides) under uncultured prokaryote. RNAcentral's name for it is "bacterial SSU rRNA". It matches the Rfam family "Bacterial small subunit ribosomal RNA", at positions 355 to 774 of the family's 1533-position model. The record is from RNAcentral.
UAAGGAAUAUUGGUCAAUGGACGCAAGUCUGAACCAGCCAUGCCGCGUGAAGGAAGACGGCCCUACGGGUUGUAAACUUCUUUUGUACGGGAAAAAACCACCGGUCGUGAACCGGUGCUGAUGGUACCGUAAGAAUAAGCAUCGGCUAACUCCGUGCCAGCAGCCGCGGUAAUACGGAGGAUGCAAGCGUUAUCCGGAUUCAUUGGGUUUAAAGGGUGCGCAGGCGGAAUGAUAAGUCAGUGGUGAAAUCCUACGGCUCAACUGUAGAACUGCCAUUGAUACUGUUGUUCUUGAGUACACUUGGAGUGGGCGGAAUGUGUCAUGUAGCGGUGAAAUGCUUAGAUAUGACACAGAACACCGAUCGCGAAGGCAGCUCACUAAGUUGUAACUGACGCUCAGGCACGAAAGCGUGGGGAUCAAACA